RNAcentral lists this ribosomal RNA (448 nucleotides) under uncultured bacterium. RNAcentral's name for it is "partial 16S ribosomal RNA". It matches the Rfam family "Bacterial small subunit ribosomal RNA", at positions 338 to 795 of the family's 1533-position model. The record is from RNAcentral.
CCUACGGGGGGCUGCAGUAAGGAAUAUUGGUCAAUGGAGGAAACUCUGAACCAGCCAUCCCGCGUGAAGGAUGAAGGGGCUCUGCCUUGUAAACUUCUUUUGUCUGGGGCGAAAAAGCUCGAUUUAUCGAGAACUGACGGUACCAGAAGAAUAAGCACCGGCUAACUCCGUGCCAGCAGCCGCGGUAAUACGGCGGGUGCAAGCGUUAUCCGGAAUCGGGGGGUUUGGAGGGUUAGUAGGCGGCUGGGUAAAGGCUGUGGCUUAACCAUGGAAUUGCCAUUGAUACUGCAGAGCUUGAAUGAGGUUGAGGUUGGCGGAAGGUGACAUGUAGCGGUGAAAUGCCUAGAUAUGUCAUGGAACACCGAUUGCGAAGGCAGCUGACUGGACCUAUAUUGACGCUGAGGCACGAAAGCGUGGGGAGCGAACAGGAUUAGAUACCCCGGUAGUC